Molecule: ribosomal RNA, 295 nt
Filed under: uncultured fungus
Lineage: Eukaryota; Fungi
Description: partial small subunit ribosomal RNA
Rfam family: Eukaryotic small subunit ribosomal RNA
Source: RNAcentral
GCUUGUCUCAAAGAUUAAGCCAUGCAUGUCUAAGUAUAAACGAUUUUAUACGUGAAACUGCGAAUGGCUCAUUAAAUCACACCUAAUCUACUGGAAAGUUACUAGUUACUUGGAUAACUGAGGUAAUUCUUGAGCUAAUACAUGCGAAAAAUCUCGACUCACGGAGAGAUGCUUUUAUUAGAUCAAAACCAAACGGCUUCGGCCGUCUCAUUGGUGACUCUGAAUAACUUUGGGCUGAUCGUAUGGCCUUGUGCCGACGACGUUUCCUUCGAAGGUGUGCCCUAUCAACUGUCGA